CCGGGACGCGCCCGCCCGCAGGUGAGGCGCGCUCGGGGCACCCCGCCGCCCCCUCCUCCGCCGCGGCUUCCUUCCGGGCCGGCAGAGGCCAGGGCUCAGGUUUGGGGACCGCUCCGCCGCGGGGCACGUGGGGCCUAAGUAUCCCCGCCCACCCCGGGAGCCCAGACUCCGGAGCGCCGGGCCUGAGCUUUCCGCAGAGGGGCUCGGCAGCGGAGCCCUGUCCUGCUCCCAGGAGGCGGGUGGCGGUGGCCCGGUGGGCACUACACACGUGGAACUGGAAGAGUUCCUGAGACCCUGCUUCGAAGAGAUUUCCCGUGCACAUUCUACCCGUUUGAGAUGUGUUUGAGUUCACAAACUGUCCCUUAAAGAUGCGAAUGCUCCUUUGAAUAGUUAAACCUAUCAGUCUCUUACACCAUAGUAUAAAUUAUUUUCCUUGCAUUUGACAGAACACCGUGCUAAGAUCAACUACAGGCUUUGGGAAUUUAAAUAAAGGAAGAGGAAAGAGAUAGAAUGUUUUGGGACAAAAGGGACAAAAGCAUGUGUGGGAAGGCAUCACCUUGCAUCCCUCGGGGAAUGGAUCCAUUAGAGAAUCGAUCCUGCCACUGCUGUUUCUACCGUUCCCUCACACUCUGUCUGAAAAGGCGCCACCUUCAGCCCAUACUUCGCAGGGCUUUGAUUCCAAAGGUAGGGGACCUAACAUCAGAUAUAGGAGUUUGGUAAUUUAAAUAAAGCAAAACUUUGCC
This 743-nucleotide long non-coding RNA is filed under the name Homo sapiens (human). RNAcentral's name for it is "HSALNT0028886". Lineage: Eukaryota; Metazoa; Chordata; Mammalia; Primates; Hominidae. The record is from RNAcentral.